This is a long non-coding RNA of Cyprinus carpio (common carp), 793 nucleotides long. RefSeq lists it as uncharacterized. NCBI's taxonomy places the organism in Eukaryota, Metazoa, Chordata, Actinopteri, Cypriniformes, Cyprinidae. The transcript is spliced from 3 exons. The record is from RefSeq and is a predicted model, not a curated record.
UUAUACUAGACUUGUCUAAUCAAUUAAGGCCUGAAAGAAGAGAGCUGUUGUGACUGGUUCCUCACUGGAUGAUACUGAUCAACAAAACAAAACUGUUAUUAAGUAGUCCUAUUUUAUUAAGUACAGUGAUAGAUUAAAAACAAAAGAACAAAAAAACUUUAAUUUGUUCCUCUUUAACCUGCAAACCAAGUACUGUUUCAGUCUGCCUCAGUUGGAUUGGUUGAGCCUGUUGAUUUGACCAAAAUUAACUACACCACCACCGCAGACCAACAUAACUUUUUUACUGCACCAUCAUGAGAACAUUUAGACUCUGCAUAGGCUAACAUAAAAGAGGACGCAAUUUCUAAAACCUGAUAAGAUGUCAUCAAUGUGUAACUCUAUGACCACAUGUGUGUGGAUGCUUCUUUCUUUCUUUUUUGUGUUCAUACCUGGACAUGCAUUACUUAACUGCACCUCAGUUCAGACGGUUCAUCGAGGAACGUCAGUCAAUAUCAGCUGUAACUACAAACCAUCAACUGACAUUAAUGGUCUCACAGUGGAACUGCAAACUGAUAAUAAACUGUGCUCAGUAUCAAAAUUGAACAAUUCAUGGAUAAAUCAUCCAUGUAGAAAUCACUGUAGAUUCAUUUGGAUUCCAGAAACUGUGCAAAUGUCUUUUGAGAUAUCAAAUCUGCAGAUAAAAGAUACUGGCAUGUACAAAUGUGUUGUGACAAGAACUAUACCACCUCCUUCUGUGCUUUUGAGAGAAGAAAGAACAUUUGUUCAAGUGUUUGGUAAGAAUUCACUAUGACAA